UCCAUUUCGCGCAUUUCCUCAAUCAAACUUUCACCUAAAGAGGAACAACAACUAUUCCAACUUCUCCCUUAAAGCACAAACCCUAAACUUUACUGGUUCCUUCUUUGAAGGUGGAUUGGGUUCUGAUGAUGAUGAUGAUGAUGAUGACGACGACGAUGAUGAUGUUGUUAUUCCAGGGUUUGCUGAUCUUGAAGAAAGAGAAGAACCCGAAUGCCCGCCCGGACUCAGACCGUACGAAACCAUGGUGGUUCUGAGGCCUGACAUGUCUGAGGAUGAACGUCUUGCAUUCACCCAGAAAU
This 299-nucleotide long non-coding RNA is filed under the name Trifolium pratense (red clover). RNAcentral describes it as "long non-coding RNA (TPRA_LNC001227)". The record is from RNAcentral. Lineage: Eukaryota; Viridiplantae; Streptophyta; Magnoliopsida; Fabales; Fabaceae.